AUUGAACGCUGGCGGCAGGCCUAACACAUGCAAGUCGGACGGUAGCACAGAGGAGCUUGCUCCUCGGGUGACGAGUGGCGGACGGGUGAGUAAUGUCUGGGGAUCUGCCCGAUAGAGGGGGAUAACCACUGGAAACGGUGGCUAAUACCGCAUAACGUCGCAAGACCAAAGAGGGGGACCUUCGGGCCUCUCACUAUCGGAUGAACCCAGAUGGGAUUAGCUAGUAGGCGGGGUAACGGCCCACCUAGGCGACGAGCCCUAGCUGGUCUGAGAGGAUGACCAGCCACACUGGAACUGAGACCCGGUCCAGACUCCUACGGGAGGCAGCAGUGGGGAAUAUUGCACAAUGGGCGCAAGCCUGAUGCAGCCAUGCCGCGUGUAUGAAGAAGGCCUUCGGGUUGUAAAGUACUUUCAGCGGGGAGGAAGGCGAUGUGGUUAAUAACCGCAUUGAUUGACGUUACCCGCAGAAGAAGCACCGGCUAACUCCGUGCCAGCCGCCGCCGUAA
RNAcentral lists this ribosomal RNA (506 nucleotides) under uncultured bacterium. RNAcentral's name for it is "partial 16S ribosomal RNA". It matches the Rfam family "Bacterial small subunit ribosomal RNA", at positions 29 to 523 of the family's 1533-position model. The record is from RNAcentral.